Molecule: transfer RNA, 58 nt
Filed under: Litomosoides sigmodontis
Lineage: Eukaryota; Metazoa; Nematoda; Chromadorea; Rhabditida; Onchocercidae
Description: tRNA-Ala
Source: RNAcentral
GUGUAUGUAUUAUAAUUUGGAUUAUACUUGAUUUGCAUUCAUGAGAUUGUUGUACACG